GGAUUGUGGCACAGUGGUAGAGCACUUGCCUGGAAUGAGCGAGGCCCUGGGUUCGAUCCUCAGCACCA
This 68-nucleotide transfer RNA is filed under the name Marmota monax (woodchuck). RNAcentral describes it as "tRNA.Ser". The record is from RNAcentral. Lineage: Eukaryota; Metazoa; Chordata; Mammalia; Rodentia; Sciuridae.